GGAAACAGAUUCCAACACUAUAACUCGUGUAUUACGAUAUUUCUCCACUUUCGAGAGUUAAAUUUUAAUUAUUUAAAAAGCAUGACAAGACUCGCACUUUAAAUAAUAAAAUUUUAUUGUCUCACGUGGAGGAAUAUCGUAAUACACUUGUUGCAGUGUAGGAAUCUAUAUUUCC
RNAcentral lists this small RNA (175 nucleotides) under Mytilus galloprovincialis (Mediterranean mussel). The record is from RNAcentral. Lineage: Eukaryota; Metazoa; Mollusca; Bivalvia; Mytilida; Mytilidae.